Molecule: long non-coding RNA, 430 nt
Filed under: Homo sapiens (human)
Lineage: Eukaryota; Metazoa; Chordata; Mammalia; Primates; Hominidae
Description: HSALNT0311988
Source: RNAcentral
GUCACGAGGCUUGUCUUCUGCCAGGAGUGGAGACUUUCCCACAGACUUCUUGUUUCUUCUUGCUGCUUUUGGGUGACUCAGCCUAUGACACUUUUGCUCCUCCUGAAAUCUCCAUAUCUUGCUUUUCUCAAAUUCCAAGCCCACUCAUGUGACAUGCAUGGAGCUCUUCAGCAGGGACUUACUGACCAGGACAAGAGCUUGAGACUUUGAGGGGAUCUGAUUGUCACUGCACAAUCAAGGACAGUAUUCCCAAGAGUGGAUGUUGCUCAAGAUAGUCCAAGGAAUUCUAUGAAGAAAAGGACUCCACAGACAAUAAAUUUUGGACACCCUGUUUCAACACAGUGCAUCUUAGAGACUGGUGUUUGCAAGUAUAUGGAGCAGGAAACUUCAUCCCGAAGAUGGAGACCCCGGGGCUGUCAGCAGGCGUUAG